This 254-nucleotide ribosomal RNA is filed under the name uncultured bacterium. Its description in RNAcentral is "partial 16S ribosomal RNA". It matches the Rfam family "Bacterial small subunit ribosomal RNA", at positions 524 to 776 of the family's 1533-position model. The record is from RNAcentral.
UACGUAGGUGACCAGCGUUGUCCGGAUUUACUGGGCGUAAAGAGCGCGCAGGCGGUCGUUCAAGUCGAGUGUGAAAGCCCCCGGCUCAACUGGGGAGGGUCACUCGAUACUGAUCGACUUGAAGGCAGGAGAGGGAAGCGGAAUUCCCGGUGUAGUGGUGUAAUGCGUAGAUAUCGGGAGGAACACCAGUGGCGAAGGCGACUACCUGGCCUGUUUCUUGACGCUGAGGCGCGAAAGCUAGGGGAGCAAACGGG